RNAcentral lists this ribosomal RNA (494 nucleotides) under uncultured bacterium. Its description in RNAcentral is "partial 16S ribosomal RNA". It matches the Rfam family "Bacterial small subunit ribosomal RNA", at positions 29 to 507 of the family's 1533-position model. The record is from RNAcentral.
ACGCACGCUGGCGGCGUGCCUAAUACAUGCAAGUAGAACGCUGAAGGAGGAGCUUGCUUCUCUGGAUGAGUUGCGAACGGGUGAGUAACGCGUAGGUAACCUGCCUGGUAGUGGGGGAUAACUAUUGGAAACGAUAGCUAAUACCGCAUAAUAGCAGUUGUUGCAUGAUAACUGUUUGAAAGGUGCAAUUGCACCGCUACCAGAUGGACCUGCGUUGUAUUAGCUAGUUGGUGGGGUAACGGCUCACCAAGGCGACGAUACAUAGCCGACCUGAGAGGGUGAUCGGCCACACUGGGACUGAGACACGGCCCAGACUCCUACGGGAGGCAGCAGUAGGGAAUCUUCGGCAAUGGACGGAAGUCUGACCGAGCAACGCCGCGUGAGUGAAGAAGGGUUUCGGAUCGUAAAGCUCUGUUGUAAGAGAAGAACGAGUGUGAGAGUGGAAAGUUCACACUGUGACGGUAUCUUACCAGAAAGGGACGGCUAACUACGUG